This 568-nucleotide ribosomal RNA is filed under the name uncultured bacterium. Its description in RNAcentral is "partial 16S ribosomal RNA". It matches the Rfam family "Bacterial small subunit ribosomal RNA", at positions 355 to 928 of the family's 1533-position model. The record is from RNAcentral.
UGGGGAAUAUUGGACAAUGGGCGGAAGCCUGAUCCAGCAACGCCGCGUGAGGGAUGACGGCCUUCGGGUUGUAAACCUCUUUCAGUACCGACGAAGCGAAAGUGACGGUAGGUACAGAAGAAGGACCGGCCAACUACGUGCCAGCAGCCGCGGUAAUACGUAGGGUCCGAGCGUUGUCCGGAAUUAUUGGGCGUAAAGGGCUCGUAGGCGGUUUGUCGCGUCGGGAGUGAAAACAGCGGGCUUAACUCGUUGCUUGCUUUCGAUACGGGCAGACUAGAGGUAUGCAGGGGAGAAUGGAAUUCCUGGUGUAGCGGUGAAAUGCGCAGAUAUCAGGAGGAACACCGGUGGCGAAGGCGGUUCUCUGGGCAUUACCUGACGCUGAGGAGCGAAAGUGUGGGGAGCGAACAGGAUUAGAUACCCUGAUAGUCCACACCGUAAACGUUGGGGCGCUAGGUGUGGGGUCCUUUCCACGGAUUCCGUGCCGUAGCUAACGCAUUUAAGCGCCCCCGCCUGGGGGAGUACGGCCGCAAGGCUAAAACUCAAAGGAAAUUGACGGGGGUCAUAGCUG